ACGUAGGAGGCAAACGUUAUCCGGAUUUACUGGGCGUAAAGCGCGUGUAGGUGGUUCUGUAAGUAGGGCGUGAAAGCUCCUGGCUCAACUGGGAGAGGCCGUUCUAAACUGCAGAGCUAGAGGAUGGUAGAGGGAGGUGGAAUUCCGGGUGUAGCGGUGAAAUGCGCAGAUAUCCCGCGGAACACCAGUGGCGAAGGCGGCCUACUGGACCAUACCUGACGCUCAGACGCGAAAGCUAGGGGAGCAAACAG
This 251-nucleotide ribosomal RNA is filed under the name uncultured prokaryote. RNAcentral describes it as "partial 16S rRNA". It matches the Rfam family "Bacterial small subunit ribosomal RNA", at positions 525 to 775 of the family's 1533-position model. The record is from RNAcentral.